AUUGAACGCUGGCGGCAUGCUUUACACAUGCAAGUCGAACGGCAGCACGGGGGCAACCCUGGUGGCGAGUGGCGAACGGGUGAGUAAUACAUCGGAACGUGCCCAGUCGUGGGGGAUAACGUAGCGAAAGCUACGCUAAUACCGCAUACGAUCUACGGAUGAAAGCGGGGGAUCGCAAGACCUCGCGCGAUUGGAGCGGCCGAUGGCAGAUUAGGUAGUUGGUGGGGUAAAGGCUCACCAAGCCGACGAUCUGUAGCUGGUCUGAGAGGACGACCAGCCACACUGGGACUGAGACACGGCCCAGACUCCUACGGGAGGCAGCAGUAGGGAAUUUUGGACAAUGGGCGCAAGCCUGAUCCAGCCAUUCCGCGUGCAGGAUGAAGGCC
RNAcentral lists this ribosomal RNA (386 nucleotides) under uncultured bacterium. Its description in RNAcentral is "bacterial SSU rRNA". It matches the Rfam family "Bacterial small subunit ribosomal RNA", at positions 29 to 416 of the family's 1533-position model. The record is from RNAcentral.